Musa acuminata AAA Group (dessert banana) is the source of this 3550-nucleotide long non-coding RNA. RefSeq lists it as uncharacterized. NCBI's taxonomy places the organism in Eukaryota, Viridiplantae, Streptophyta, Magnoliopsida, Zingiberales, Musaceae. The transcript has 2 exons. The record is from RefSeq and is a predicted model, not a curated record.
GUCAUUCUGAUGUAUCUUUUCCUUUUCCAAGUUGUUGAUCGUAGGUUCUUGGAGUAGAAUAUCAUCGGUUUAUUCGAUCUUUGGCAGCUUGAUUCUUGUUCCAUGGUUUUCGAGAAGCACUUCCAAUCCUGUGAUAAUUUUCUUUGCUUCUUGUUGGUUUCCGAUUCUUGAAUCCAACUACAGACGUUUUUGUCGAUCUUUUGGCGGAUGCUUGAAUCCAGAUGCCAUUGUUUUCGUCGAUAUUUUGGCGGCGUGAUUCUUGUUCUGUGGGUGUGUUUCUUGUUUCAUGAUUGUUCGUUCAGGAGGGGACUCUGAUCCUGUUAUGAUUUUUCCGUUUGUUGUUGGUUGCGGAUUCUUGAAGCCAUUUGGCGGCGUGAAACUUGUUCUAUGUGCGUGUUUCUUGUUUCGUGAAUUUUCAGAAGUGGGUUCUGAUCCUGUUUUGAAUUUUCCGUUUGUUGUUUGUUGCGGAUUCUGUAAGUCACUAGACAUUUUCUUCAACGAUCUUGUUUUUUGUUCGCGGAUUCUUGUCACUGGACAUUUUUUUCACUAGAAUUUUCCGUUCGUGGAUUGUUGUUUGUUCUGUGGGUUUCCAAGAUGGAAUUCAUGUUGUCAUAAAUGUGUGAUUGUGCCGUCAGAGCGAGCGAGUUUAAACAGACGCGGUUCCGUCGACUAACAUCUUCCUUUUGGCGUCUCCUUCUCAGAUGCUGAGAGUUCGCAUCGUGAAUUCUUGUUUUUGUUGUGUUCUGUAGGAAAUAGAAAUCCAUGGUAGCGUUUCCCUCCCUCCUUUCCGAUUCUUGAUUGCCGGAUCACGAUUAGGCUACGACCAACCGUAAGUUCGCCUUUUAUUUUUUGCCCACCAUCAAGCGCCGUGCAAAUCGUGAUGGGAUGCAACAGCGAACACUAGUAAAUGCAAACCCACGUCCGUACAAUUUUCUAAUGGGAGAACAGGAAUUUAAUGCAUUGUCUGCAAGGUUUGGGGAGCUACCGUGGUCAUUUCACCCUCCUAGAGAACCACAUUGGACAGGAUGUCUUCCUCCCCAAGGUUGGAUGGGUUUGUAUAGGUGCUAACGGGGCUUCACUGUUUUGGAUGAAAUUUCAAGUUGUAGGGUCGACCUACCAUGUUGUCCAAUAAAUUAGAAUUAUCGAUUGAUCUAAUGGUCUUAGGAAUUCUAUCGACUUUAAUGCCCCUAAUAAUUGACUCUUGUGCAUGUGACAUGUCACCACUGGCAGUAGAGUUUGUCUACCAGGAACUCUUUUUUGAUCCAGCUAUGUAGAUCUUUUGCUGCGACUGAGCAAAAGAUCUUUUUCUUUGAGAAAAAAGUUGUAAUUCACUGAUUCUGUUUGUGAAGUUGAUGAAUAUGUCUUGCUUUGUUAUAAAUAAGCUAUAGGCUGCUGAAACUUGUCUCGGUUGUUCAACAUUACUCACACUGUUUAGUUUAUACGAGUCAUUUCAGAUGCAUCAUUUAAGAAAGAUCAAAGUCAUUUAGGAUCAUUGUAUUACUUCUUGCGGCUACUGCCAUUGGUUUAUGUCAGUUGAACAGGUAUUUGCCCCAUUUUCAUUCACCAUGCACGCCAUGUAUGUAGGUCACUGUAUCAGUAUGAUAGAGUUAGAGGCUUUCUCAAGAUCUAUAUUUUUUAGAAAUAUGUCAUUACAGCAGUUUGUCAUCACACUCUGUGUGUGGAUAGUAACCAGGAUCAAAUGAUCCCGUUAAAAAUCCUGGACAUAUAUGUCACUGGCUUGACUUAAGGAAUUGAUUUCAAUUGGCCAACUUAAGAAGCAUAUUUCAAGUGGAGGAAAAAGUGUGAUAAGUUGCCUUUUUAUAUGUUUGAUAUAGCUUAGCUCACCUUUGAUCUCCUAUUCUUUCUGGGUUUAGAUUGUUAUUGCCUAGUGCACUGAGCUUUUUGCUUCUUCUUUUUUUGGGUUCAUUUUCAAGCACUUUUGCAAUUUGUCUUUGUAUUUCUGAUUCCGUACACACGGAUCUGCUGCUCCUGCCAUUUCCGGCAUAUUUUUAUUUAAAUUAACUUUAUUGGCAUGAAUUACGGAUUUAGGAGAUAUAUGCAAGGGGUAUGCCCUCCCUAUCUUUCUUUCUGGCAUUACUUUUGUCCAAUAUAAGCAUCUCCACAUACGGCUGUCAUGAUAUGCAUUUACUGUUUCUAUUUAUAUUCUUAGCUUUUAUAUAAUUUUCCUUGAGAUGAAUCUGUAUGGACAGUUUCAACAGUGAUUCAGUGUCCGAACCAGGCGAUGAGUUUUAUGUGUGCCCAACAUUCAUAGUUAAACCAUAUGCUGUCAUAAGCCUCGGUUUUGAGAAUUGUGGUGAUUUUUCAUGAGAGUAGGUAGUUAAGAGGAAAGAAAAGCCAAAUUGUCGUUGAAUCUUAUGGGCCUUUUGAGGUAGGUGUUUAAUUAUUCUUACUGCUAUCACUAUCAAUGUCACUAUUUUUUUAUAUUAUGUGUUGUUGUCAUAGUAUUAUUCAAGGUUCGCAAUACCGUACCGUACCGGAGUUUCGACCUAGGCUCGGUACCGGUACGGUACGGUAUACCGCUCGGUACACCCAAGUGUACCGAACGGUAUAUUCAGGCGUGCCGAGCACUGUAGCAGUACUGCUACAGUGUCGGAACGGUAACAUAUGGUCCGCGUACCGAAAGUCUGGUGGACCGAUAUGUACCGCCCGUACCGGGCGGUACGGACCGGUACUGCAAACCAUGGUAUUAUUAUCAUUGUUGAUGUAUAUACACAUGUAUAUAUAUAUACAUACCGGUAGAGAAGACUGCAAAUCAUGGUAUUAUUAUUUUUGCUUGCUGGAGGAUUUGAGACUAUAUGCUUGUUUGCUCCUCGUUUCUGCAAAACGUCAGGCCUUACUGUCUCUGACGUAAUUUGGUGUAAGAACCAGUAAUUUUUUUUUUAUUGCUUAUUUUUUCAGGUUUCUGCAAGCAUGCAUGGGAGAGCAACAUUUGGGGAUACCGUCUGUAGUAUUAAUUUAUAAUGGUUUUCAGUGCUAGUCGAUAUGUAGAAAUGUAAAAAAAACUAGUUUUGUUGCCUACUUUCCAACUAGUUCUGUCCUCUUUAACUCGGCAGCGCAUAAAAAAUGUAAUUUGAUGAAGCCAGCCCAGGACAGAUUUCGUUUUAUCAUAGGACAGACAUUAAAAAGAUGAGAUGAUGCUAUCCCAAGUGAUGCCAAAUUGUAGGCAACAGUACAAAGAUGAGAAUAGAAUGCUAAUUCCGAAGUUGUGUGUCGGCGCUCUAUUGAUGCGAAUUUUUGCAUUGAAAUUCAUUCGAAGAGAAAAACGUACGGGGAAAAGCAAGGAAAGUAUAUGCAACUAAAGAUUGCUAAGAAGCUUCCAGGGCAAGCCUAAGAAUGAUUUGCGGUGCAAGUGUAGGACGCAAUUAAUGUAGUUGGUCUCAACAAUUUCAGCUGGAUUUGCAACGAUCAUAAGAAAAAAACACCAAAAUGUGUCAGCAUGCCAAGAAAAUUGACCGAGGUAGGCCAAGAAAAUAUGUUUGUACGCAAGCGUUAUAAACAUUUUAAAUACAAACAUUGUGAUUCUACUCCA